This 497-nucleotide ribosomal RNA is filed under the name uncultured bacterium. Its description in RNAcentral is "partial 16S ribosomal RNA". It matches the Rfam family "Bacterial small subunit ribosomal RNA", at positions 28 to 507 of the family's 1533-position model. The record is from RNAcentral.
GAUGAACGCUGGCGGCGUGCCUAAUACAUGCAAGUCGAGCGAACAGACGAGGAGCUUGCUCCUCUGACGUUAGCGGCGGACGGGUGAGUAACACGUGGAUAACCUACCUAUAAGACUGGGAUAACUUCGGGAAACCGGAGCUAAUACCGGAUAAUAUAUUGAAGCGCAUGGUUCAAUAGUGAAAGACGGUUUUGCUGUCACUUAUAGAUGGAUCCGCGCCGCAUUAGCUAGUUGGUAAGGUAACGGCUUACCAAGGCAACGAUGCGUAGCCGACCUGAGAGGGUGAUCGGCCACACUGGAACUGAGACACGGUCCAGACUCCUACGGGAGGCAGCAGUAGGGAAUCUUCCGCAAUGGGCGAAAGCUUGACGGAGCAACGCCGCGUGAGUGAUGAAGGUCUUCGGAUCGUAAAACUCUGUUAUUAGGGAAGAACAAAUGUGUAAGUAACUAUGCACGUAUUGACGGUACCUAAUCAGAAAGCCACGGCUAACUACGUG